UCGGGAAUUUUGGACAAUGGGCGAAAGCCUGAUCCAGCCAUGCCGCGUGUGUGAAGAAGGCGUUAUGCGUUGUAAACUGCUUUUGCCAGGGGAUAAAAAGACCGUGCGCGGUUAAUUGAAGGUACCUGGUGAAUAAGCCACGGCUAACUACGUGCCAGCAGCCGCGGUAAUACGUAGGUGGCAAGCGUUGUCCGGAUUUAUUGGGUUUAAAGGGUGCGUAGGUGGCCCUGUAAGUCAGUGGUGAAAUAUCUCAGCUUAACUGAGAGGGUGCCAUUGAUACUGCAGGGCUUGAGUACAGAUGAGGUAGGCGGAAUUGACGGUGUAGCGGUGAAAUGCAUAGAUAUCGUCAAGAACACCGAUAGCGAAGGCAGCUUACCAAGCUGUAACUGACACUGAGGCACGAAAGUGUGGGGAUCAAACAGGAUUAGAUACCCCCGUAGUCCCUGAGCGGGCUGGCAAGGCGCAU
This 466-nucleotide ribosomal RNA is filed under the name uncultured bacterium. Its description in RNAcentral is "bacterial SSU rRNA". It matches the Rfam family "Bacterial small subunit ribosomal RNA", at positions 355 to 825 of the family's 1533-position model. The record is from RNAcentral.